UGUCCAGCCCUAUGAAACCAGCCCGGUUUUCAAGUCAGACCCAAUCUGACUGUGGUGGUUUCUGGACCCAGUCUGCAAAAGCAGUUCUCAAAGUUUGAAAGCUCAUAAUGCAAAAGCUACAGAACUGGGAUCCAGAAUCCGUCAGACACUCCCCCACCUGCUCCAGCCACCUUGAGAAAGCGGCGUGCUCAAGCGGCUGCUCAGUGUUCUGCUGUUAGAAUACACAGACGUGAGAAUGAGUCAAAGAGCCAGAAGCCAACCAGAAAAAUGAGAGCCCUGAGUGUCCAGACUUCUGUGCCAACACUUCCAGAAGGGCCUUGGUACUACUUGAAGGACUUCUCCAAGGACAGAAGAUUCUUUCUAUCUCAUAAAAAGCUGGAUGCCCCCGAAGGAUC
This is a long non-coding RNA of Leptonychotes weddellii (Weddell seal), 395 nucleotides long. RefSeq lists it as uncharacterized. The record is from RefSeq and is a predicted model, not a curated record. NCBI's taxonomy places the organism in Eukaryota, Metazoa, Chordata, Mammalia, Carnivora, Phocidae.